This 252-nucleotide ribosomal RNA is filed under the name uncultured bacterium. RNAcentral's name for it is "partial 16S ribosomal RNA". It matches the Rfam family "Bacterial small subunit ribosomal RNA", at positions 524 to 776 of the family's 1533-position model. The record is from RNAcentral.
GACGUAGGGCGCGAGCGUUGUCCGGAUUUAUUGGGCGUAAAGAGCUCGUAGGCGGCCUGUUGCGUCCGCUGUGAAAGCCCGGGGCUUAACCCCGGGUCGCAGUGGAUACGGGCAGGCUAGAGGUAGGUAGGGGAGAAUGGAAUUCCCGGUGUAGCGGUGAAAUGCGCAGAUAUCGGGAGGAACACCGGUGGCGAAGGCGGUUCUCUGGGCCUUACCUGACGCUGAGGAGCGAAAGCGUGGGGAGCGAACAGG